Molecule: ribosomal RNA, 400 nt
Filed under: uncultured bacterium
Lineage: Bacteria
Description: bacterial SSU rRNA
Rfam family: Bacterial small subunit ribosomal RNA
Source: RNAcentral
UAGGGAAUAUUGCACAAUGGGCGAAAGCCUGAUGCAGCAACGCCGCGUGCGCGAUGAAGGCCUUCGGGUCGUAAAGCGCUUUUCAAGGAGAAGAGGAAGGACGGUAUCCUUGGAAUAAGUCUCGGCUAACUACGUGCCAGCAGCCGCGGUAAAACGUAGGAGGCGAGCGUUAUCCGAAUUUACUGGGCGUAAAGCGUGUGCAGGCGGUUCGAUAAGUUGGAUGUAAAAUCUCCUGGCUCAACUGGGAGGGUCGUUCAAGACUGUCGGGCUAGAGGGCGGUAGAGGGAGGUGGAAUUCCCGGUGUAGUGGUGAAAUGCGUAGAUAUCGGGAGGAACACCUGUGGCGAAAGCGGCCUCCUGGGCCGAACCUGACGCUCAGACACGAAAGCUAGGGGAGCAAA